RNAcentral lists this ribosomal RNA (73 nucleotides) under Glyceria elata. RNAcentral describes it as "partial 26S ribosomal RNA". It matches the Rfam family "Eukaryotic large subunit ribosomal RNA", at positions 1 to 73 of the family's 3401-position model. Lineage: Eukaryota; Viridiplantae; Streptophyta; Magnoliopsida; Poales; Poaceae. The record is from RNAcentral.
CGACCCCAGGUCAGACGGGACUACCCGCUGAGUUUAAGCAUAUAAAUAAGCGGAGGAGAAGAAACUUACAAGG